RNAcentral lists this ribosomal RNA (620 nucleotides) under Pseudomonas fulva. Its description in RNAcentral is "bacterial SSU rRNA". It matches the Rfam family "Bacterial small subunit ribosomal RNA", at positions 60 to 675 of the family's 1533-position model. The record is from RNAcentral. Lineage: Bacteria; Pseudomonadati; Pseudomonadota; Gammaproteobacteria; Pseudomonadales; Pseudomonadaceae.
AGUCGAGCGGAUGACAGGAGCUUGCUCCUGGAUUCAGCGGCGGACGGGUGAGUAAUGCCUAGGAAUCUGCCUGGUAGUGGGGGACAACGUUUCGAAAGGAACGCUAAUACCGCAUACAUCCUACGGGAGAAAGCAGGGGACCUUCGGGCCUUGCGCUAUCAGAUGAGCCUAGGUCGGAUUAGCUUGUUGGUGAGGUAAUGGCUCACCAAGGCGACGAUCCGUAACUGGUCUGAGAGGAUGAUCAGUCACACUGGAACUGAGACACGGUCCAGACUCCUACGGGAGGCAGCAGUGGGGAAUAUUGGACAAUGGGCGAAAGCCUGAUCCAGCCAUGCCGCGUGUGUGAAGAAGGUCUUCGGAUUGUAAAGCACUUUAAGUUGGGAGGAAGGGUUGUAGAUUAAUACUCUGCAAUUUUGACGUUACCGACAGAAUAAGCACCGGCUAACUCUGUGCCAGCAGCCGCGGUAAUACAGAGGGUGCAAGCGUUAAUCGGAAUUACUGGGCGUAAAGCGCGCGUAGGUGGUUUGUUAAGUUGGAUGUGAAAGCCCCGGGCUCAACCUGGGAACUGCAUCCAAAACUGGCAAGCUAGAGUACGGUAGAGGGUGGUGGAAUUUCCUGUG